RNA transcript from Hevea brasiliensis (rubber tree), 1347 nucleotides. It is a transcript of the gene named ribulose-5-phosphate-3-epimerase, chloroplastic, with no coding region annotated. The transcript is spliced from 10 exons. The record is from RefSeq and is a predicted model, not a curated record. Lineage: Eukaryota; Viridiplantae; Streptophyta; Magnoliopsida; Malpighiales; Euphorbiaceae.
CGAGAUUUUUAGUCUUAACCUCAGACUCGUAGCUGAAGUAUUGGUGGCAAAGGAAGGAAGAAACGAUUAUCAAACCGAAUUUUCUUUCCCUACCUAACCGUUGAAUAGGAGGCUGUCUUCUUAAGAGAGAGAAACAGAGAGAGAGAGAGAGAAAGAGAGGAUGACAACAGCUUCAUUGUGUUCGUCAACUCAGAUCAAUGUUUUUCGAGGGGGUCUUAGACUCCAAAAGACCCAUCUCUAUCAACCCAGUUCGGUCACCCUUACAAGGAGAAAAAUUCAUACUGUAGUGAAGGCAACAGCUCGGGUUGAUAAGUUCUCGAAAAGUGAUGUCAUUGUUUCUCCAUCCAUUCUCUCUGCUAAUUUUUCAAAGCUAGGAGAGCAGGUAAAAGCAGUAGAGUUGGGAGGUUGUGAUUGGAUCCAUGUUGAUGUAAUGGAUGGUCGUUUUGUUCCGAACAUCACCAUUGGGCCUCUUGUGGUUGAUGCUUUGCGGCCAGUGACAGAUCUUCCUUUGGAUGUGCAUUUGAUGAUUGUGGAACCUGAACAAAGAGUGCCAGAUUUUAUCAAGGCUGGAGCUGACGUAGUCAGUGUUCACUGUGAACAAUCCUCCACCAUCCAUUUGCAUCGCACAAUAGAUCAGAUAAAAAGUCUUGGAGCUAAAGCUGGAGUUGUCUUGAACCCUGCUACCCCACUGACUGCCAUAGACUAUGUCCUUGAUGUGGUUGAUCUAGUCUUGAUUAUGUCUGUGAACCCUGGCUUUGGUGGGCAAGGCUUUAUUGAGAGUCAAGUAAAGAAAAUCUCAGAUUUGAGAAGAAUAUGUGCAGAGAAGGGAGUAAAUCCAUGGAUUGAAGUAGAUGGCGGAGUUGGUCCCAAGAAUGCAUAUAAGGUUAUUGAGGCUGGAGCUAAUGCUAUAGUUGCGGGAUCGGCUGUAUUUGGAGCUAAAGAUUAUGCUGAAGCUAUAAGAGGAAUCAAAACCAGCAAAAGGCCAGUAGCUGUACCAGCGUGAUCUAUCACCAGAGAAUGUCAUUUGAUUGACCUGUAUUUUUCAUUCUUAUGUAUGUCACUUUGUCACUUGGCCAGAGUUUCUCAAUUUGAAUUUUGGUUAUUCACACGGUAGAUAAGCAGCUUAUUGCUAGCUUCAUGUUGUUGUCAGAUGUGCCAUCACUUCUUUGAUUGAUUUCUCUGAGGUUACAGAUGAGCUAAUAAGGAAUCAAGUCUGUGGCAAGAGUGCCGCUGGGUAUAUGUUGUGUACCAUAUAUCCUUUAUAGGGAUUCAAUAAUUCGAGCUCAUGUGAAGCUCUUUGUAACGAUCAAUAGUUCCAUUAAUAUUCAAUCAGGACCUUUCUUUUUU